GGAGUUGUGGCUCAGAGGUAGAGCAUGUGCCUACCAUGCAUGAGGCACUGAGUUCAAUCCUCAGCACCA
RNAcentral lists this transfer RNA (69 nucleotides) under Ictidomys tridecemlineatus (thirteen-lined ground squirrel). RNAcentral describes it as "Spermophilus tridecemlineatus (thirteen-lined ground squirrel) tRNA". It matches the Rfam family "tRNA". Rfam says of the family: Transfer RNA (tRNA) molecules are approximately 80 nucleotides in length. Their secondary structure includes four short double-helical elements and three loops (D, anti-codon, and T loops). Lineage: Eukaryota; Metazoa; Chordata; Mammalia; Rodentia; Sciuridae. The record is from Rfam by way of RNAcentral.